Acinonyx jubatus (cheetah) is the source of this 6108-nucleotide long non-coding RNA. RefSeq lists it as uncharacterized. The transcript has 4 exons. The record is from RefSeq and is a predicted model, not a curated record. NCBI's taxonomy places the organism in Eukaryota, Metazoa, Chordata, Mammalia, Carnivora, Felidae.
GGCUGUAUGGUCAAGGGCCAAGCUAUUCCUAUGGGCCAAACGAGUGCAUUGCUUUGCUGGUUGCCACGGAGUUGGUUCUUACUCUGAGUCUAGGUCACUCUGAGGUGUGCAAACUUUUGCUGCCAACCUCAAAUUUGUUAUCAGACCUCCUUCGGUGUUUUUCGCUGUGGUUUCCAUUUUCAAUUCUAUGUUGUCUAUUUCAUGUCUUUCAUGGUUCCCAGUACCUGAAUGACUCUUUUGCCAGCAUGAUGUUUAUGGAUUUAUUUAUUUAUGUGCCAUUUUUGUCAUUUUGCACUUGGAGCAAGAGAAGAAGCUAUGAUAUAUUUCAGGCUGCCAUCUUAAACAAAUGAAUCGCAUAUGCCUUCUAUAUGCUCAAGAAUCCACAAACAUCACCAACAAACAUUGACAAUUAUUCCACUAUUUGCUUUUGCCCUCAGCAAAUUGGGUAGUUGAAACCAUGUCUGUCUUUAGGUCUAUUCCAGGUUGAUCUCCAAUCUGAUAUCAGAAGAAAAACAAAAAUGAAGCUGGCCAUAGUCUCUCAUUUUCAUAAGAAUUCCCCCUUAGAAAUAUUCAGUAAAAAAAAAAAAUUAAAUGUAAAGGAGAGUUUAAAUUGUAGGAAGCUGAGACAACCCAAAAGAUCAAACUGUGUAAUGAGACUCAAGAAUCAGAGAUUUUUAUCUACUACCAGACCUUACUAAUGUCUUCAAGAAUAUAAGUUGUCACAAAAACACAGGCAGAGCAGAGAAAGGCCCAGGCCCCCAGUGCUACUUCCCAGGCCCUUUCUGCCUACAUCAGAUGAGUUAUGGCCCAGGUUGACUGAUGUGGUUUCUAAGUAAAAUGUCACUAACUCUCAAAGCUCUUUCACUUUAUACUCAGACACUUACCUAGUUUAUCCAACCUCUUCCAGGGAGGCACCUCUCAUGAAUCCAUGCAUCCCAGAUUUGUUUGCUAUAAACAAACCUAGACAACCAGGCACAUUCUACUAAAAACAUUCCUUAGAUAAGUAUUCUGCUAGCAGAAGCCAUUGUUUGAUUGACAGGAGGUCUAGUAUCAGUAGGUUAAAAGGCAAUUGGACUGGGGCACAAGGCUUCUUUCUCAGGAAUGUCUCUUCCCAGUUGCCCCUCCACCACUCGCUCCAUAAAAGGAGUAAAUGGGUUGACUUGCUGCUCAUCUCUUCCCUUCCCAGCAAACAGUCAACAUGAAAUCAGUUUUAUCUCAUGUGGGCCACUGUCGCAUUCAAUUCUAAUUCAGCAGGUGUAGAAAGAACCUAAAUUGUUACUGGUUUUUUUAAAUUCUUUCCUCAAAUCCCCUUGAAAAUUCAAAUAAAAAGUACAGAAAUAGAGCAGUUGUGAGAAUCAUUCUUUAUCUACAUAGAACAUAUUUUUCUUUAGUUUAUCUUUUUUAAAAAUGUUUUGAAAAGCAUCUCAUUGGCUACUCCCUCCUAACAUAUUAUGCCACUAAAUGUGUGGAAUCUUAGUUUUUAGAAUUUCACCCUUAAAAAUUAAGGUUUUAAUGUUUAGUAAGUAGCACACUUACAUAGAGAAAAACUGGUAAUUCUCACAGUAAGAUGUAGAAAAUAGUUUCCAUAUUGUUUGCUAAGUCCUAUCCUUUGCUAGUGCCUACCUGGAACAUUGUGUUGAGAAGGAUUUGCAAGUUAGUUAUAGAUUUAACAACAACCAAAAAAACUCUAUGGUUAAUUGAUAAUUUGGGUCAUGGGCAUGGAUCUUACCAUUCAUGAUCUAAGCUAUCAUUAAACAUAGUAACUUACAAUUAUGUUGCAGUGACAAAUCUGGGAACAGUUUUGAUAGAUAAAUGACAUGACCCUGUUUGCCUGAGAUAGUUCCGAUCUUGACCUACUGUCCCCAUGUAAUUUUUCAUAGUAAUUUUUAGUAUCAUUUACUCCCAAAGGUAUCCUAUAAAGAGGUUAUGCUGUAUGGCUACCCUAGUAAUAGAAUGCAAGAAACUGAAUGAGGAGGCAUUAGAUUGAGGCUCUUGUUAGGAAUCUACAUAAGAGGUUACAGAAAAUAAGAUUUAAUAAGAGACCUUAGGGACAGUCAAAUGUGGAGAGAUGUGAGGAUUACUGUGGUAAAGGAUUGCCUGCAUGAGUCUUUAGAGCCUCUCAAACUUGAGAUCCCGGUUUAAAUAUCCUAUUUCGCUGGGGGAUCUAGGUAGCUCCAUUGGUCAGCACAGAGCCUGGAGCCUGCUUCAGAUUCUAUGAGUCCCUCUCUUUACCCCUCUUCUGCUCACACUCUCUCUGUCUCUCAAAAAUAAAAUAAAUGUAAAAAAAUAAAUAAGUAAUAAAUAAAUAAGUAAUAAGUAAUAAAUAAGUAAAUAAGCAUGUAAAUAAAUAAAUAAAUAAAUACCCUAUUUCACUGACUGGAUAACCAAAACUCAGAGAAUGAGAGUUUAAUUUAAUUAUUCAGUUGCACAGCUUAUUUUUGGCACAUCUACUGAUUCCCAGAUCAAUGUCUCUUUCACAUACAGCAUGCUUAUAACACCAUUUUCUAUCAUUUGUCUUAAGAAGCUGUGGUGGGUUGAUGAGUGUCCCCUAGAAAUUUCUGCUCACCCAGAACCUCACAGUGUGACCUUAUUUGAAAUAGGGUCUUUACAUACAGAUAGCUAACAGACAUAUGAAAAGAUGCUCAAUAUCACUCAUCAUCAGGGAAAUGCAAAUCAAAACCACGAUGAGAUACGGCCUCAUACCUGUCGGAAUGGCUAAAAUUAACAACAUAGGAAACAACAGAUGUUAAUGAAGAUGCAGAGAAAGGGGAAUCCUCUUAUACUGUUGAUGGGAAUACAAACUGGUGCAGCCUCUCUGGAAAACAGUAUGGAAAUUACUCAAAAAUUUAAAAAUAGAAUUAUCCUACAAAUCCAGAAAUUGCACUAGUAGGUAUUUACCAAAAGGAUACAAAAAUACUGACUUGAAGAGACACAUGCAGCCCAAUGUUUAUGGUAGCAUCAUCAACAAUAACCAAACUAUAGGAAGAGCUCAAAUGAUGUCCAUCCACUGAUUAAUGGAUAAAGGAGUUGGUAUAUAUUCGUUACACACAUACAUACACACACAAUGGCAUAUUACUUAGCCAUAAAAAAAGAGAAUGGAAUCUUGCCAUUUGCAAUGAUGUGAAUGGAGCUAGAGUGGAUUAUGCCAAGCAAAAUAAGUCAGUCAGAGAAAGACAAGUAGCAUAUGAUUUCACUCAUUACAUGGAAUUUAAGAAACAAAACAGAUGAACGCAAAGGAGAAAGAAACAGGUAAACCAUAAAACAGACUUUUAACUAUGGAGAACAAACUGAGGGUUUAUGGAGGGAAGGUGCAGGGUGGGGGUGGGGGGCUAGAUGGGUGAUGGGUACUAAGGAGGGCAUUUGUUGUGAUGAGCAUUGGGUAUUGUAUGUAAGUGAUGAAUCACCAAAUUCUACUCUUGAAACUAAUAUUACACUGUAUGUUAUUUGACAGGAAUUUAAAUAAAAACUUGAAACUAAAAAAGAAAAAGAAAUAGGGUCUUUGCAGAUGUAAUUAAUCUCAAAAUUAAAUCAUCCUGAGUUUGGAGUGGGUCCUCAAUCUAAUGACUGGUGUUCUUAGAGGGAGAGAGAACACAGAAAGACACAGACACCACACAAGGGAGAAUGCCAUGUGACACCCACGUGAAGAUCAGGAUAGUGCAUCUACAACCAAAGAAUGCCAAGAAUGGAAGACAGCCAGAAAUUAGGAGACAGUUCUUGAAACAUCCACAUAUUCCCAUGAUCAUAGUGCAAAGCAGAAAGUCUCCAGAGCCUUACCGCAGGCACAGAUGAAAUGCGGAUGCAGACGAAGGAGAGAACACUGUCAGCUUCCAAAGAAACCUUGAAGGAUUGGGAGUUGGACACGACCCAGGAAAGGGCACUCCUGGUGGAAAGAGCAGCCUGGAGCCAGGCAGGGAGCAGGGAAGCACACAUCCACAGCAACUAUAGCUGUAUGUGGUCAGUGUGUUUGGGCACAGGUCAGAAAUUUAGAUUUUUCUGACAGUGUGACGAGUGAGGACCUGCUGAAGGUGUCAGACAGGGGUGUGGGGGGCAGUGAUAGAAUGGUACUUGCAGAAAUGGUACUUGCAGAAAUGGUACUAUGUAUCUGAAGGACAGACAGAUAGAUGAGAAAUGAACAUGGAAACAGCAAGACUGGUCCAAAAACUGUGCCACCACAUGAGAGGUGACAAAGGGCCUAAACCAGGGCUGUCGCCAUGGAAAUGGAGAAGAGUGUGGUCAACCUGAGGCUACAUAACAGCUGGAACCCCUUACCUGCUCACUCUGUGCCAGAUACGGUCUUCCAGUUUUACCUGGAUUAUUUUGUUUAAUCCUCAUUACAAGCCAAUGGGAGUUAUAUUAUUAUUACCGUAUUCUACAGAUAAGGAGAUUGAGGUUGGAUGACAAUCACUGGAAAAACCCUGCGCUCUCUCUCUUUUCCUAGCGUAGUCAUUGAGAUAGCUUCUCCCCAAGAGGGCCACCCACUGUCAUUCAUUUCCCCCGACUCUAAUUGUCAUUUCCCAUCGAGGUAGAGUCUCUUCAUCCAGCCCUUUCACUACAGGCUGUGCUACGACUCCUUCGGUCACAGAAUGUUGUGUGUACCAUACUGCCUUUGCAGUCAUCGUCAGCCAAAAAACAUAGGAAAGACUACCAGUGAGAACCACCUUGCCAAACUCGCUCAACACGAGAAUCAUGAGAGAUGGUGACAAUGCCUGCUGUAAGCCACUGGGUUUUAAGGUUGUCUCUGCAGUAACCGAUAACAAAAACAUUAAUGAGACUUCUUUUGUCUCUCAGAAGUGUUCUGCUGUGGACAAGGCAUUGCAUGGUUAACCUGCGUUUAGGAAGUAUAAACAACCGGGACAACCCAAACUCAAACCCAGGUGUAUCUGUGCUUUGAGCCGUAAGUUCACUAUGUAAGAGAGUAAAUGGUGUGUGCAUUUAAAUUCCCUGGGGAAAAUGAGAUGUUUUAUUAAUCUCUUCACACAUCAGAUUACCAGGCACUCUCCAAGGAAAUCCAUCAUAAGACAGGUUGAUAUGUCUGGUAUCAGAGACGUGGGAAGUGGUAGUGCUGGGUUCAAAUCCAUGUUUUUAACCACUGUGCCAUACCUUGUACCACUCGGAGGAUAUUGGCAAAGAUGGGGAUCCCUAGUCACCUAGGAGCAGCUAAGAGAUUGCACUAGUCCAGCCUCUUCAUUUCACAGACCCAUGAGAUCCCAGUGUUCUCAACCCUGGCUGCCCUGUGGAGUCAUCUGGAGAAGAUUUCAAACAAAACACAACGAAAGCUCAACCAGAUUAAGAGAUUUUUACCGAAUUUACAGGUCCACAGCGGCUCUCAUUUCUAUCUCCUCGACCUUGGAUCCAAACCUUCGGCAUCUCAGUAAAUGGCACAACCAAGUUGCUCAGGCCAGAAACUGGCCAGUUUGAAUACUCAGGCCAGUAUUUAUCCUCGAUUCCUCUUUCCGUUCCAUCUACAACCAAACCACCGACUUGUGUCAGGCACUGGGUAAAUGUUUGUUCAAUGAAAUCAGACAUUUAUGGUGUGGGUCUUCAUUUGGAAGGGCACAAUUUUUUAGGUUAUAUAUGUUUGUGUUGUGUACACACACACCCUGUCUGGACUCCUUCUUCUAUCCCUACGUGUCUCCUCUCUGAGAGGAUCAAAUUCAGACUCUAAAGAGAGACCCGGUACUCCGAGUGACAUCCUGACCCCAUGACGAGAGGGCUUGGGUCGCUUUUGAGCUCUUACAUUUCUGUUUUAUUCUUCCCACCCAUCACUCCCGCCUUUUGCAUCAUUGGCAUAUCCACAGGUAAUUUGUGUGGCCCCGAGAAUUCUCUGCUCUGCAAAGAACUGAUAGAGAAACGUCCUUUAAAGCAAUAAUUCCGGCCAUGUUUUAGUCAAGCAAGCAAUAAAGGGCUGCCAAGAUUGAUUAAACAGAGAAGCCAAGCCGCGGCCUCUCCUCAGUCAUGAGAGCUGUCUGUCUAGAUGACACUGCCCCAAACAGACCCCUCUGACCUUCUACUCCAUAGCCUCUGUUUGGUGCUGGGAAUAGACCUCGCCGACCCCGGGCUGUGACCACCCACAUUAGGGAGAGUCAAUGACGGCUAACAACUUAAAAA